CGACGCCGCGUGAGGGAUGGAGGCCUUCGGGUUGUAAACCUCUUUCGCCAGUGAAGCAGGCCUGCUCCUUGUGGGUGGGUUGACGGUAGCUGGAUAAGAAGCGCCGGCUAACUACGUGCCAGCAGCCGCGGUAAUACGUAGGGCGCGAGCGUUGUCCGGAAUUAUUGGGCGUAAAGAGCUCGUAGGCGGCUGGUCGCGUCUGUCGUGAAAUCCUCUGGCUUAACUGGGGGCUUGCGGUGGGUACGGGCCGGCUUGAGUGCGGUAGGGAGACUGGAACUCCUGGUGUAGCGGUGGAAUGCGCAGAUAUCAGGAAGAACACCGGUGGCGAAGGCGGGUCUCUGGGCCGUUACUGACGCUGAGGAGCGAAAGCGUGGGGAGCGAACAGGAUUAGAUACCCUGGUAGUCCACGCCGUAAACGUUGGGCACUAGGUGUGGGGGGCCUUUUCCGGGUCUUCCGCGCCGUAGCUAACGCAUUAGGUGCCCCGCCUGGGGAGUACGGCCGCAAGGCUAAAACUCAAAGGAAUUGACGGGGGCCCGCACAAGCGGCGGAGCAUGCGGAUUAAUUCGAUGCAACGCGAAGAACCUUACCAAGGCUUGACAUGUGCCGGUCGGCUCCUGAGACGGGGUUUCCUCCUUG
RNAcentral lists this ribosomal RNA (637 nucleotides) under Actinomyces sp. oral taxon 169. RNAcentral's name for it is "bacterial SSU rRNA". It matches the Rfam family "Bacterial small subunit ribosomal RNA", at positions 392 to 1022 of the family's 1533-position model. The record is from RNAcentral. Lineage: Bacteria; Bacillati; Actinomycetota; Actinomycetes; Actinomycetales; Actinomycetaceae.